Molecule: ribosomal RNA, 434 nt
Filed under: uncultured bacterium
Lineage: Bacteria
Description: partial 16S ribosomal RNA
Rfam family: Bacterial small subunit ribosomal RNA
Source: RNAcentral
AGCGAACGCUGGCGGCAGGCCUAACACAUGCAAGUCGAACGAACCUUUCGGGGUUAGUGGCGGACGGGUGAGUAACACGUGGGAACGUGCCUUUAGGUUCGGAAUAACUCAGGGAAACUUGUGCUAAUACCGAAUGUGCCCUUCGGGGGAAAGAUUAAUCGCCUUUAGAGCGGCCCGCGUCUGAUUAGCUAGUUGGUUGAGGUAAUGGCUCACCAAGGCGACGAUCAGUAGCUGGUCUGAGAGGAUGAUCAGCCACAUUGGGACUGAGACACGGCCCAAACCCCCACGGGAGGCAGCAGGGGGGAAUCUUGCGGAAUGGGCGAAAGGCUGACGGAACCAUGCCGCGUGGAUGAUGGAGGGCUUAGGAUUGUAAAAUUCUUUCACCGGGGACGAUAAUGACGGUACCCGGAGAAGAAGCCCCGGCUAACUUCGUG